Cyprinus carpio carpio is the source of this 2033-nucleotide long non-coding RNA. The record is from Ensembl. Lineage: Eukaryota; Metazoa; Chordata; Actinopteri; Cypriniformes; Cyprinidae.
AGUCCUUCCUUCAAGAGCUUAAAAGCUCACUGUUUGAGGAAAUACAUGAGGAUGAAACGGUACUUCAAGCCUCAACAGACUGGUCGACCCGAAAGAGCCUCAUAUCAGGGUGGUGGGAGAAAGAGAGACCCCGACUGGUCAACACCAUGGUGGCUGGACAACAUGCGGCAACUCGGAUCUGCCAACAUUGUGGAAAUGGUCCAGCCGUAAUCCGUUGUUGUGACUGCCGACCACACCCAUUCCUCUGUGGCCAGUGUGAUGUCAGGGUCCACCGAGGUCAAGUGUUCCACAACAGGGAUUCGAUGACACAUGCAUUCUUUCAUCCAUUGCCUCCCACAACUUGUGUUGUGGAGAGGGUUCUAACCCAGUGUGGUAAGUUGUAGUUUUUAAAAGUCACAUUCUUAGACUUGACUGAAAAACUGAUAGGUCGAUGAAGCAGUCAAGUACAUCUUGUUUAAAAUAGUUGCCAGUAAAUAAAUGUUAUUUUUUAAUGCUUAUCCAUGUGUUUUUUGUUUUUUAAGAGCGUCUUGUACCUUUGGAGAUGCCAGAGACAAUAUGCGGUUGUCUACGAGUAUCGUCCAGUGUCAUCGCAGGACAGUCCAUAGUUGUGGUUACAAUGAAUGGGCGAUAUGAUCUCAGAUUGCCUCAGAUUAGAUGCAAAGCAUGUGAAGCCACUUGGAGUCCUGGAGUGGAUGACCUGAUCCGUAAUGACUACUGGCCUGCCACUUCUCACUAUUCAACUGUGUAUGCAACAGAUGUCCUUUUUUUCUUUUUGAAGAGCUGAAGAUGGCAGCACCAGGGAUGUCUAGCCAAGCAUUUCUUAGAAUGCUGGAUCAACGCACUGUUCGAUUUGGCCGUAGUGGAAACAUCACAGCAGACAGCUUCCGGAAAAAGCUUCUUGGAGUGGGAAGCUGUCCGAUUCGAAAGUGGACAAAUUAUGCCAGGAGGACCACUUUGACUGCCCAGCGUGCAGCCCAGACAUGCUUGCAGUAUCCGUUGAUGGAAACCGUAAGCACUACAGAUUCAAGAGUGCAGCAAGAUCGGAGGAAAAAGCCAUCUUUGAUGGCGUGUUCAUCGCAAAUGAUGAUGAUGUCGCAAGAUUCGUGGACUAUGUCCAUACCUCAACCAGUCAUGUAAACUUGCACAACUUCUCUAUAUUUACCUAUAAAAACACCACGUCCUACAGAGGACUUAGUUUGAACAAGUUUGGAAUGUUAAACAUCUUCCAUGUUUUUAGGUCUCUGGAAGAGGUGUCUGUGGAGGGCAAUGGUCAGCGGCGCGUGAAACUUCUCAGAAGUCCUCAGGAAAAACAGACGAGGAGGGCCUGGAACUCGCUGUAUGUCGUCAUGGGGUUCUCCUUCGUGCCCUCAAUAUGUUCAGGGGGGAGAUUUUUGCCUACCCCCUGUACCUCCAAAAGCAAAUGGCCUGUAAGCCAGUUAAAUUUUUUGCAAUGGAUGUGGCAUGCAAGUACUGGCCUUACCUCCAGAGAGUGACAGAGAAAUGCCCUGAGCUUGAGGAUCUCCUCACCAUGAGGCCAUUUCUUUCUGUUUUUCAUGCCAAAGCUCAUGAUUUCAAAUGUGAGGUAAGAAAAAAUGAUUGUCCAUGAUAUUUUCUUUCCCUAAAAAUCCUGCAUAAGAUUGUUGCCACUUAGGUUUUGUUUUUUUGUUUUCUUUUUUUAAAGGUAAAAUGGAGUGGAGCAUAUCAGGAGGGGCUGGUUCGACUCUUGGGGAAGAGGUGGAGCAGUGCAACGCCUUCCUCUCGAGGAUUGCUGUUACGACAAAGCACAUGUCAAAAAGCAGGUAAGGUAACCAGUAAAUUUUGAUCCUGAUGACAUGGGUGAGCCACUUAUGCAUACAUGCUGACUCUGAAAAUAUAAAGAUCAGAAUAUAUUAAACACAAAUGGAUGGAUCGAUUACAAUAACAUCAUCCUAUUUUAUUUGACGUGAGGAUAAUAAGGAAGGGCAGUGCGAUAUAAAAAAAACACAUCCAAGUACCAUUCACCUACUGUCCUGCCAUAGUGCUCCAUACCAUUU